Struthio camelus australis is the source of this 469-nucleotide non-coding RNA. The record is from RefSeq and is a predicted model, not a curated record. Lineage: Eukaryota; Metazoa; Chordata; Aves; Struthioniformes; Struthionidae.
UUCAGCAGGUGACAGUAUCACAGAACGGUGAAGCAGUUGAAUCUGCUCAUGGUCUGGCCUAUGACAGUACAAAACAGGUCCUGUUAAUCAGCCAGCUUGAACUCGAUUUGGGCAGAGACUACACAGUGAAAUGGAGUUAAAGUACCUGCAAAUAACACUAGUCUGCAAGUAACACUCAAAUAACACUGAAAAUAACACUGCAAGUAACAUCUCGGGACCUUCUCUUUUUCUUAAACAAUCUUUCAAUUUUCAUACUGCAUUUUUGAAAUUUUAAAAUACUUUGUGCUAUAAAAAUGCACUAGCUAUAGUCAGUUCAUAUUAAGGCAUUAUGUAUAUAUAAAGCAGUCAUAUUUUACUAUCGUUCAAGGCUAACUGCAAGCUAUCUGUGUGAUACAGAAUUUGUUUUUUAAAUAUUAUGGCCCUUGAAUAUAGCUUCAUGUUUCAAAAUUAAAGCUUUUAUAGGAUUCCA